UGGAUGGUGGCACAGCGGUUAGCAUUCUUGCCUCUCAAUAAGGAGGUUUCAGGUUUGAGUCCUGACCAGCCAG
This is a non-coding RNA of Gymnothorax javanicus (giant moray), 73 nucleotides long. NCBI's taxonomy places the organism in Eukaryota, Metazoa, Chordata, Actinopteri, Anguilliformes, Muraenidae. The record is from the annotation of a GenBank genome assembly.